This 505-nucleotide ribosomal RNA is filed under the name uncultured bacterium. RNAcentral's name for it is "partial 16S ribosomal RNA". It matches the Rfam family "Bacterial small subunit ribosomal RNA", at positions 28 to 507 of the family's 1533-position model. The record is from RNAcentral.
GACGAACGCUGGCGGCGUGCCUAAUACAUGCGAGUAGAACGCACAGUUUAUACCGUAGCUUGCUACACCAUAGACUGUGAGUUGCGAACGGGUGAGUAACGCGUAGGUAACCUGCCUGGUAGCGGGGGAUAACUAUUGGAAACGAUAGCUAAUACCGCAUAAUAUUAAUUAUUGCAUGAUAAUUAAUUGAAAGGUGCAAUUGCACCACUACCAGAUGGACCUGCGUUGUAUUAGCUAGUAGGUGAGGUAACGGCUCACCUAGGCGACGAUACAUAGCCGACCUGAGAGGGUGAUCGGCCAAACUGGGACUGAGACACGGCCCAGACUCCUACGGGAGGCAGCAGUAGGGAAUCUUCGGCAAUGGACGAAAGUCUGACCGAGCAACGCCGCGUGAGUGAAGAAGGUUUUCGGAUCGUAAAGCUCUGUUGUAAGAGAAGAACGGGUGUGAGAGUGGAAAGUUCACACUGUGACGGUAUCUUACCAGAAAGGGACGGCUAACUACGUG